GAGGAAUAUUGGUCAAUGGGCGCAAGCCUGAACCAGCCAUGCCGCGUGCAGGAUGACGCAUCUAUGGUGUGUAAACUGCUUUUGUACGGGAAGAAACCCUGCCACGUGUGGCAGAUUGACGGUACCGUAAGAAUAAGGAUCGGCUAACUCCGUGCCAGCAGCCGCGGUAAUACGGAGGAUCCAAGCGUUAUCCGGAAUCAUUGGGUUUAAAGGGUCCGUAGGCGGUUUUAUAAGUCAGUGGUGAAAUCCGGCAGCUCAACUGUCGAACUGCCAUUGAUACUGUAGGACUUGAAUUAUUGUGAAGUAACUAGAAUAUGUAGUGUAGCGGUGAAAUGCUUAGAUAUUACAUGGAAUACCCAUUGCGAAGGCAGGUUACUAACAAUACAUUGACGCUGAUGGACGAAAGCGUGGGGAGCGAAC
RNAcentral lists this ribosomal RNA (420 nucleotides) under uncultured bacterium. RNAcentral's name for it is "bacterial SSU rRNA". It matches the Rfam family "Bacterial small subunit ribosomal RNA", at positions 356 to 773 of the family's 1533-position model. The record is from RNAcentral.